Molecule: unclassified non-coding RNA, 373 nt
Filed under: soil metagenome
Description: partial contains 5.8S ribosomal RNA, internal transcribed spacer 2, and large subunit ribosomal RNA
Rfam family: 5.8S ribosomal RNA (bases 1-121)
Source: RNAcentral
GAUGAAGAACGCAGCGAAAUGCGAUAAGUAAUGCGAAUUGCAGAAUUCCAGUGAGUCAUCGAAUCUUUGAACGCACAUUGCGCCCUUUGGUAUUCCGAAGGGCAUGCCUGUUCGAGCGUCAUUAUCACCCCUCAAGCCCUCGGCUUGGUGUUGGACGGUUUGGUGGAGGCCCCCUCGGGGGUUCCUGCCCCUCCCAAAGACAAUGACGGCGGCCUCGUUGGACCCCCGGUACACUGAGUUCUUCACGGGACACGUAUCGGACACAUGGGUUUACGGGACACGGUCUGCCUCCCCUCAGGGAGAAUCUUUCUAAGGUUGACCUCGGAUCAGGUAGGGAUACCCGCUGAACUUAAGUAUAUCAAUAAGCGGAGGA